Chlorocebus sabaeus (green monkey) is the source of this 280-nucleotide non-coding RNA. NCBI's taxonomy places the organism in Eukaryota, Metazoa, Chordata, Mammalia, Primates, Cercopithecidae. The record is from RefSeq and is a predicted model, not a curated record.
AUGGACACCCAGAAGCAAAUUCACAAGACUCACAAUUCAAAGAACCAAUUUUUAACAAUAUUUUUCCCUGUCAGUUGAAUUUGGGCAGGAAGGAACAUGCAAAAAUUUUUACCUUCUUCUUUCAACUGGACGCUAUGGACAGAAAUCCAGGAGAGCUGACCUAGGAACUGCAGACACUGCAGAUAAAACAGAGCCAGAAUGCUUUGCUGCCAGCUGGAACUUUGACCCAAACCCCAGUGCGACAGUCUCCAGUGCCCACUCAACUGGAAUGCAUCAAUGA